GAACUUUGCUCCAUAAUCUCUAAAGGAAGAUUCCCAUCUCACCUUUUGUUACUAUGGAGAUGUGAUGUGGAAAAUUCACACCUUUUGUUACUAUGGAGAUAUGAUAUGGAAAAUUCAUAACAAAAAAUAAUGAAUUUCUAUUCUACCCUUACUAGCACAUUGUUCAUGAGAAUGUUACUUGCCCAAGUUACUAAUAUAUCUAACCUUCAAUUUUCCCCUGUACAAAAAAUGGAAGAAGAUAAUCUAAUUUACAAAGUUAGCAUAUAGACUGAUGUACAUAAAGUACCUAGCACCGUGCCUAGUAUGUAGUAAAAUUGAUUGUGUAAAUAUAAAUAGUAGACUCUAGGGGGUCUCUUUAACCCUGGGUUUCUAUUGACAUAAUUUUCCUACUAACACAGAUCUGAAAAUAGUAAUAGUGACCCCACAAUAAUAUUUCAUCAUAAUUUCUGCAACCCCUCCCUUAGAGUUAUUUUUUUGUUUGUUUGUUUUAAUGAACCAAAUAAGGAGAAAAGAUUCUUUGUUGUUUUCCCUCUCUUUAAGGUGUAUGUGAACUCUCACAUAAUCUCAUUCAAUAUUACCAAUUGUUGUCAAACUCAGAAGAUAAUGGGUGAAAUUUCAAGUUAUAAUAAUAUAACAGAUUAUAGGGAAUAAGGACAGGCUUUGGACAUAUUUCAAAUAUCUUGGCUUCUUGAGAAAGCAGAUACUAAAUCUGUCACUAGACUCAGAAUCAAGUAGUCAGCCUUUGGCCCUAUUCCAGUAUAUAAUGGAACAAAUUCCAGACCUCUCCAAGAGUAAUUCUUUUUGCAGUCCAGAGACAUAAGGCUGCUAUAGUUAGAUGUUAAUAAAAGAUCUAAAUGCAGUGGAGCAAAAGACAGGAGGAGAAAGUCUUGGUGAGUAAGCCAAAUGGGCCAGCUAUCUGUCGUCUGGCAGCUGUCAGGAAGAAAGAGCAAAGAAUAGAAUUAUAAAGCAUGGCUACAUUUGCAGAUUAAAGAAAAUAACUCAUUUUCAGAUAAUUUUAAGAAAAUCAGAGUUAUAUACAGCUAUAAAGUUAAAGUUAUAGAGAUUAAGUAUAUAUUAUGUAAAAACGAAAAAAUAGAAUUCAAGAAUUUGGUGAAAAUUCUCUCAAUCCAAAAUUGUUCUUCUGUAAUGAAAUUAUAACUUCCAUCAUUUAUUAUUUCCAUUAAAAUGGAAGUCUGGUCUGAUUAGCUCAACAUAGAAUUUAAAAUUUAAAUCUUUAAAUUGAAUCCUGAUAUUACAUGGUUAUUCAGGCCAGGUGUAUGUUAAAGUAGACAGUAGCAUGUAGAUAAUAAUAAACAUCAUUUCUUGAACUAAUUCCUCCAGGGUAAUUUUAUUGGUGACCACAUGAUUGAGGUAAUGGUUGGUUCUGGUCAAUUAAAUUAAGUAAAUGCAAUUCUUUUCUAAUUUGAACAAUUUCAUUCAGAAUUAAAGUUAAAAAUAUUUUUCUAUAUUAAGCUACUCCAUCAGGAAAUUAUGAAAAAUUAUCAACUGAAGUUGAAAAAUAAAUGUCAAUGAGAAAUCCCCAACUAUAUGUGCAGUAAUUUAGGAUAUGUUUAUUCAUUCCAUUCUCAUAAUCAGUUAUGUAGAAAUUCAUAUCUACCAAAGCACAGUUUUAAAGUAAAGAUCUGGGAAGUUUCUUGGCAUCAAACUAAUGGUUACAGAAUAAUAUCAAUGUCACUUCCACAAUGCUUAAAUAUUCGUAGGUGACUAAAAUUGAUAUGUACCAAUUCCAACAAGGUAGAUCAUUGUAGAAGUGACUCACACCUAGGACUCUAUACCAAAUAUUAAACCUAAAUCUCAACAAAAAGGAGUAAAACAAGAAUUUGACUAUGCAAAGUAUGAAGAAUAUGAAGAAAUUUGAUGUCAAAAAGGCAAACGAAAUUUCAUAAAUGGAAAACACAAACAUUUGUGCAAAAACACAAAUUGAAUUUAUAUUAAAUCUAGAUUUAAUAUACAUUAGUAAACAUUAAACAUAUAAACAAUAAAGAUGGGUAGCAAAGAAUAUUUUCUAUAGGAAUGACAUUAUGGAAAAUGACAGAGUAGGACAUUCAAAUAAAUGGCCCCUCCCCUGAAAGAAAGAUAUACUCACAAAGAUUCACUAAUUCAAUUUUUCUUUGGAAAUGUGGGAACUAAUCCAAAACUUUCAUCGACCAGAGGACUACUUACUAAAGAAAAGCAAUUUCUAUGGUAUAUCCACUCACAUACUAUCUCCUAUUCUCCAGUAGCCAGUGUCCCCAGUGUAGGUGGCUGGUUCAGAGGGCUAAUACUGAUCUUGUUCUUAAAAUACUGUGGUUGUGCUUUUUCAAUAUGAAUUUUAGUGUAUAUUUGACUUACAAAUUUGUUUUAGUUUCAGGUGAACAACAAAGUAAAUCAGAUUCUUUUCCCAUAGAGGUUGUUACACAGUAUUGAAUACAUUAUCCUAUGCUAUACGAUCAUGAAAAUGAAGGAAAAAUGGAGAAAUUCUUCCAAAUUGAAGGCUACUAAAGAGACAUGACAAAUACUAUACUGUAUCAUCUUGGACUGGAAUCUUUCUAUAAAUGCCAUUGUUGGAAUAACUGGUUAUUUCUAAAUGGAAUCUGGAUUAGAUGAUUUUAAGUGUAUUGAUGUUAAUAUCCUGAUUUUGAUUGUGACUCUAUGGCUGUGGUCUUUUAAAUGCAUGCUAGUUUUCAAAGACAAUGGGAAUAAUGCAGUAGUUAGAGAAUGUUAUAAAGUGCUAAGAAUAGUGAAAUUAAGGUAGUAAAGGUUGUUAUUUGUGUUUAAUCUUCCCAUACCACUUUAAUGCAUGUAUUCCUGGGUUCCAUCGAUUUAAAUCUGCUGAUCCCUGUAAACAUGCUUGCCUUUGCAAUUCUGUUCACUUUCUUGGUUGUAACUUCUACUUUGUUUUUAAUGAAUUGCAAAUCCAUACAUUCACUCCAGGACUUGUUCUUAGCGUCCCACU
This 2956-nucleotide long non-coding RNA is filed under the name Sus scrofa (pig). The record is from RNAcentral. Lineage: Eukaryota; Metazoa; Chordata; Mammalia; Artiodactyla; Suidae.